UACGUAGGGCGCAAGCGUUGUCCGGAAUUAUUGGGCGUAAAGAGCUCGUAGGCGGUCUGUCGCGUCUGUUGUGAAAACUCGAGGCUCAACCUCGGGCUUGCAGUGGAUACGGGCAGACUAGAGUGCGGUAGGGGAGACUGGAAUUCCUGGUGUAGCGGUGGAAUGCGCAGAUAUCAGGAGGAACACCGAUGGCGAAGGCAGGUCUCUGGACCGGAACUGACGCUGAGGCGCGAAAGCGUGGGGAGCAAACGGG
Molecule: ribosomal RNA, 253 nt
Filed under: uncultured bacterium
Lineage: Bacteria
Description: partial 16S ribosomal RNA
Rfam family: Bacterial small subunit ribosomal RNA
Source: RNAcentral